UGAGUAAUGUCUGGGAAACUGCCUGAUGGAGGGGGAUAACUACUGGAAACGGUAGCUAAUACCGCAUAACGUCGCAAGACCAAAGAGGGGGACCUUCGGGCCUCUUGCCAUCAGAUGUGCCCAGAUGGGAUUAGCUAGUAGGUGGGGUAAUGGCUCACCUAGGCGACGAUCCCUAGCUGGUCUGAGAGGAUGACCAGCCACACUGGAACUGAGACACGGUCCAGACUCCUACGGGAGGCAGCAGUGGGGAAUAUUGCACAAUGGGCGCAAGCCUGAUGCAGCCAUGCCGCGUGUGUGAAGAAGGCCUUCGGGUUGUAAAGCACUUUCAGCGAGGAGGAAGGUGGUGAGCUUAAUACGCUCAUCAAUUGACGUUACUCGCAGAAGAAGCACCGGCUAACUCCGUGCCAGCAGCCGCGGUAAUACGGAGGGUGCAAGCGUUAAUCGGAAUUACUGGGCGUAAAGCGCACGCAGCGGUUUGUUAAGUCAGAUGUGAAAUCCCCGGG
Molecule: ribosomal RNA, 503 nt
Filed under: uncultured bacterium
Lineage: Bacteria
Description: bacterial SSU rRNA
Rfam family: Bacterial small subunit ribosomal RNA
Source: RNAcentral